GAGUGACAGCUGCCAGCCUCUGCCACAGCCACAGCAACACCAGAUCCGAGCUUCACCGAGCUACACCACAGCUCACCCCAAGCCAGAUCCUUAACCCACUGAGUGAGGCCAGGAAUCGAACCCGCGUCUUCAUGGUUCCUAGUCAAAUUCGUUUCCACUGCACCAUGAUGGGAACUCCCACAUUGCUCUUUUUGAAUCCGUAGUUCCACAUUAUAGUUUGUUUACAAACCUCUUGGAGUGGGAGCUCCUGGAGGUCAGAGACCAUAUGUAUCAUCAUCUCAGUAUCCCUAGCAACUAACAUAGUACAAAUUUUCCAGUCGAAAUUAUAAAUAUCUGCUUGGUCAGCCCUCAUUUCACCUGAUGUUCCAUAACAUGCACUCCUAGAUCUAGAAUACAGUCCUCAGUAAGUGUAAUGAAAAUGGAAAAGAAGAAACAAUUACAUUUCAUGUGCUGUGUUGAGAAGAAAUGUUCAUGUCAUAAUUAUUAAAGAAAAUCUUUCGGGAAAAUAGUGUUUCAAUCCUGGAAGGGUGGAAAUGAUCAGAAGCCCCCCCCCACCCCACCUCAGCUCCCAGGGCAUAGCAGUUCUCUGGUUCUAGGAAUUCAAGAUAACAAAGUGUCAUACCACUGUUUGUGAUUAACCAGAAAAACACAAGCCCCUCAAGUUAUUUCAAACAAAGAGUGAUUUAAUGCUAGGAAUUAGGUCACAUAAUUAUUGGAACUGAAAGAGCCAAAAAGCGGCAGUAUUGCCCAAUGAUGGAGAACUGUGAGAACCCUGGAGCUUCUGGUCAUCUGCUGACUUUCACUAUUACUCAUAAGAAAUCAGCUUAAAACAGAUUGUGUUACUUAUUACAGUUCUGUGAAUUGUCUGAGUUCGGCUGAGUAGUUCUGCUUCGCUUGAUGUCUGAGGCUAUGGUCAUUUGAAAAUGUUUAUGGUUAAAAAUUUUUAAAAACUUACAUUUGAAUUAAUACACGACAAAAAUAUACCAAGAGAUUGCAACAUCUGGAGUUCCUGGUUGUGGCACAGUGGGUUAAGAAUCCAGCUGCAGUGGCUUGGGUUCCUGCAGAGGCUCAGGUCAGUCCCCCAGCCCCGUGCAGUGGGUUAAAGGAUCCAGUAUUGCUGCAGCUUCAGCUUGGAUUCAGUCCCUGGCCCUGGAAUUUUCACCUGCCAUGAGUGUGGCCACAAAGAAUAAAGGUGAGGUGCUGAUCUCCAAUGUCGUUCUCUCUACAAGCUCCUUAUCUAGAUCACCGUCACCCAUCUUCGUGUUUUCUCUGUUUAAUUGUUCUCAGAAUCUCAAGGGUUGCUUUUCAAGAGGCUGCUUUCUAUUCCAUUCCCUGACUACCCCAUACGCGUAUCUCUAACAGCAUUUGUCAUGCUGUCCUGGAAUUAUUGGUGAAUUUAUCUUUUUAUUCAACUCAUCCAAGAGCUCCUGGAGGAUGUGGGUUGUGUCUUAAUGAUCUUGAGGCUGCCACUUCUGUCACAGUACCCAGCACAGAGUAGAUAUUACAGGCAUUGGUUGAAUGAAGUGAUGUAAAUUGGUAGAAAAAAAGGGCUGGUGAGUUUUUUGUUUUUCGUUUUUUUUCCAGUUAGCGGUCUUCAGAAAACACAUUUAGGAAUUACAGCAGGAGUUCCCNUUUCCUUUUUUUUUUUUUUUUUUUUUGUAAUCAAAACUCAAGUUGUGGCAGUGUACCCCAGAGCAUGUAUCUUGAUAGAUACAAAGCAGUCAUGGCACCCCUGUUUUCCUCUGCAGAUAACACGCCUGGGUUGAACAUGAUGGGGCAUAGAGGGAAGCUGUGGAGCUUACAGGGACAGAUCUUCCAUAAAAGGAGGAAGUCACUUUUUUUUCUUUUCUCCCUUCCUGCUAUGUUUACUGUUCUGUAAGAGCUGUGAAGCCUGGAUCCAGGGCAGCUGUCCUAUGCUAUUAGGUGGCAGCUUGAAAACAAAAUAUAACAUGCUGAGAAUUAUGGAGGCAGAGAGAUGGAAAGUCUAGGUCUUUGAUGAGAUCAUUGAGCCACAUCAAUCCUAGAUUACCUGUUACAUACAGACUUCUUUUUGUGUAAGGUAAUUAAACUGGCUUCAUUGGUAAGCCGCUAUGUAGUUAAAAAGAUGUAUCUAUGUCCAAACCCUCAGAACCUGUAAAUGUGGCCUUUUUUGGAAAAAGUGUCUUUGCAGAUCUAAUUAGUUAAGGAUCAUCCUGGAUUAUCUGAGUGGGCCCUAAAUCCAAUGACAAGUGUCCUGUAAGAGACACAGAGGAGAAAAUGGGCACAGAGGUGAAAACCGAGGCAGAGAUGAGAAUUAUGCAGGGACAAUCCAAGGAACACCUGGAACCACCAGAAAUUGGAAGAGGCGAGGAGGAAUUUUUUCUGUAGAACCUGCAGAGAGAGGCCCUGCUAACAACUUGCUUGGGGCUUUUGACUGCCGAAACUGUGAGAAAAUAAUUUCUGUUGUUUUAAGCCACCCAGUUGGUGGUCAUUUUUUACAGCAGACUUGAGAAAUAAUGUAAACUUGUAAGUCAGUUCUUUUUUUGGUUGCAGAUAAAGAUCCUCGAUUAAUAUAGGGAUUUUUUCAAAAUUUCAAAGUAAAAUAAUUGGUAUUGGUAAUAAUUUAGGAAAAGAUCCUAGAAUCCCUGAAAAUUCUUCCCAUAGGACUUGAAACCAAGAUUGAUACUAAAGUUCAGAGAUCCCAGAGGUAGGGGGAUAAGAAGACACCUUUAAAUGAUACUGUGGGGCAUACCUGCUCACACCAAAUAGAGCACAGCAAUUCCAAAGAAGUAACCAGGUGUAUAAGGAUAGAUGUAGAUAUAGAUGCUACAUUUAACAUCUGUAUAGUAAAAAGUUCGUGACCGCAUUAAUUCUUUUUUCUUUUUUUUUUUUUCGGCCACACCUGCACCAUGCAGAACAUCCUCGGCCAGGGAUGGAACCCAUGCCAUUGCAGUGACCCUAACCUCAACAGUGACAAUGUCAGAUCCUUAACCAGUAGGCCACCAGGGAACCCCAAGACCAUCCUUCCUCAGCAGUCUUGGCAUCCUUGUAAAAAAUGAUUUGACCACAUAUGCAAGAGCUUAUUUCUUGGCUCUCUAUUCAUUCCAUUGUUCUAGACGUCUGUCUUUAUGUUACUACCACACAUGUUUUGAUUACUAUCACUUUGUAAUAACAGCCUGAGCCUCUGCAGUGACACUGUCAGAUCCUUAACCUGCUGAGCCACAAGAGAACUCCACUAAUUAAUUACUUUUAAUAGAUGUUCUCUUUUCUCAUUAACUAUUAGUAGAAGACUUGAUAAUAGUCUGGACCACAAAAUACUAUGUGUCUUUUAUUUGUUUUCCAGCUUUAUUGAGAUAUUGACAUAACAUAUGUAAGUUCAAGGUAUACAACAUGAUGAUUUGAUACAUGUGUGUAUUGCAAAAUGAUUGCCAUAGGAAGGUUAGUUAACACCUCCCUUCUCUUGCAUAGUUAUCUUUUGUCUCUGUGUGGUGAUAACUUUUAAGACCUAAUUUUUAAACUUCCAGGUUAUAUGAUACAGUAUUGUUAAUUAUAAUCACCAUGCUGUACAUUAGGUCUCUACAACUUACUGAUCUUAUAGCUGGAAGUUUGUAUGCUUUGACCAACAUCUCCCUGUUGCUUCCAUUCUCAGCCCCGGCAACUAUCAUUUAACUCUAUUGGCUUGAGUUUAGCUUUUUUAGAUUCCACAUAUAUGUGAGAAUAUACAGUGUUUGUCUUUCUUUGUCUGAUUUAUUUCACUUAGUGUAACUCCCUCAAGAAUCAUCCAUGUUGUUCCAAAAGGCAAGAUUCCUUUUUUUAUGCCUGAAUAAUAUUCUGUUGUAUGUAUGUGUAGUGUGUGUGUGUGUGUAUCACAUUUUCUUUGUCCAUUCAUCCAUCAGUGGACACCUAUUAGCUUGUUGUCCACUAAUGGAUGGACAACGUUUUAAAAGUGGAAAAUCGGUGUGGAAGUUACCUGUCAUUUAUUUUCAGGAAGGGAAAAAAGCAAGAUGCAGAACAGAAUAUACACCGUGACCUUCCGUGUGUGAAAACAAAACCUAGGAGUUCCUGGUGGCCUAGUGGUUAAGGAUCCAGUGGUGUCAGCGCUGCAGCUUGGGUCACUGCUGUGGCACAGGUUGAAUCCCUAGCCUUAGAACUUCCACAUGCCAUGCAUGUGGCCAAAAAAAAAACCCCAAAACAAAAGACCCACUGAAAUUUAUAUAGGCACAGGAUGAAAGGUCAAGAAGGCCUAAUAAGAUUGUUAACACUUCUAGAAAGUCGGAGUGCCAAAGUAUACAUACACUUCCGUUUCUACACUUUUGUAUUUGCAUUUUGCUUCUUUUAAAAAAUAAUUUGCAUUGCCUUUAUGAUUAAGGGAAACUAUUGAGUAUUGGCACUUAUUACGGAUAACCCAAUCUCCACACUAGGAAAGACGGGAGAGGGAUUUGGGGUGGGGGGAAGCUAUAGAAUUAAAGCCUAGAGAAAAGCAAUUAGAAUAAAAGAACAAGAGAAACAGCUUUAUGAUGAACUAUCUAAAGGCUUUCAGCCAGGAGGGAUGUGAACACCAUCUCAAAUUGAUGCACAUGAUGAUAGUAAAUAUCAAAUUUACUAAAGCCCAAAAUAUCAUAGAAAUAAGAGGAAUACUUUUUGAAGGGAAAACAUAAUAUGGAUUCUGUUUUUUUCACUUUUCUGUAUCUGUGGAAUUUUUCUAGUAAACGUUAAUGAUGAAAAUGAUAAUACAUAGAGUUAUUACGCUGAAGGCCAUACAGACCUGUAUGAUAGUUUUCUGCAGGUAAACAACAUUAAUAGUUACAUAAGGUGUCACUGGUGGUGGCAGCGGCCUACCCUUUGAGCUGUACACACGAAAAUACCCAGAUAUCGCAUCUUGAAUAUAGUACAGCCCAAUCUGUGUUUUUGAGUUGGUACAAUAAUGGAAAGAAUGUUAGGCCGGGGGUGAGGAGCACAAGGUUUUCUAACCCUGGGCCUGUUACUGUUUAUCAAUGAGACCUUGAAAAAAACGGCUUUUCUAUAUCCCAGAUUCCUUAUUAUUAGAUAUGGCCUCUUUAACCACAAGAAUAUACACUUCCUUAAAACUCAGGAAAAUUUCCACUCCCAUAAAAUGUUAUACUAAAAAGAAAUCUGGGCUUAAUGGGAAACUUGGAGUAACAUAAUACUGUAUAGUUAAUCAUAGCUGACACUUAUAUAGUACUUCCCAGCUUAUCAAAUGCUUUCAUACAUCUUAUCUCAGAAUCUACCUGACAGCUCAAACACUGAUAAUAAAUGUCUUGGUAUUAUAUGUAAUUUAUGUAUUUACAUAUUUUCCAGAAUAGGAUCAAGAUCUGUAACCAACUGGAGAAAAGGGGGGAAUAUAUCAUAUAUGAUAGAACAGCCUGGAUCUCACUCCAGUGUGUAUAGGAGAGCUUGUGAGUUGAUUGAUUCGUUAACACGGUAGCAGCCUGCAAGUGGAAACUUAAGUGGAAAUAAAAAUGAUAAGCCUAAAAGCUUUGAUUCAGGUAGAAACUACAGGUCAAGUAGUAGCCUUUGAUGAGGACACUUGCUAAAAGGCAGCGCAAAGCAGUAGUUAAGCACUUGGAUUCUGAAGCCAAGCUUAAUUGUAUCUAAAUCCCAAUCUGUCAUUUGUUGGCCAAAUGACUUUGAGAAACUUACUUGACUUCUGUGUGACUCACUUUACUAAUUUGAAAAAUGGGGAUAAAAAUACUACCUACCUCUUGGAGUUACUAUACCAAUUAAAAUAUUUAAUAAUUUUACAAUGUCUAGAAUAGUAAUCACACAAAAUAUAACUUAAGUUUGUUAAAUAAAAACUUUAAAUGUAAAUACCUCCUCAUUCAGCAUCAUAUUAACAGGAUUAUCCACCAUGAUCAAGUGGGAUUUAUUCCUGGAAUGCAGGAAUGGUAAAACAUAUGCAAACUGAGCAGUAUGCUAUGUAUGCCACAUUAAUGAAAUGAAGAAAACCACAAUUAUCUUGAUGCAGAAAAGCAUUUGACAAAAGUGAACACCCUUUCAUGAUAAAACUAGGAAUAGAAGGAAAUUACCUCAAUAUAAUGACAAGUCCACAGAGAACACAUUCAAUGAUGAAAAACUGAAAACUUUUCCUCUAAGAUCAGGUACAAGGGAAACGUGCCCCAUUUCACCACUUCUGCUCAACAUAGUACCAGAUAUCCUAGCCAGAGAAGUGUGAGAAGAAGGAAAAAAGAAUCCAGGUUGGAAAGGAAGAAGUAAAAUUUCCUCUUUGUGAAGACGAUAUGCUGUAUAGGUAGAAAUCCAUAAAUUUUCUACAAAGAAGUCCAGAACUAAUAAAUUCAGCAAAGCAGCAGGAUACAAAAUCCACACAAAAAAAUCAGCUGCAUAUCUUACAUCAGUCUAAACAGAAAAUUAAAACAAUUUAAUUUACAGUGGCAUCAAUGAGAAUAAAAUAUUUAGUUAGCAAGGAGUUGAAAGGCUUGUACAAUGAAAAUUAGAAAUCAUUGCUAAAGUUUAAAGAAGACACCCCACGUUGAUAGAUUGAAAGACAAUAUUGUUUAGCUGUCAGUACUAUCCAAGGUAAUCUACUAAAGAUUCAGUGCCAUCCCUACUAAAAUCUCAAUGAUAUUUUUGCAGAUACAGAAAACCUAUCCUAAAAUUCAUAUGGAAUCACAUGGGACCCCAAAUAGCCAAAAGACUCUUUUAAAAGAAGAACAAAGAUGUAUGACUCACACUUUCUGAUUUCCAAACUUAUUACAAAGCUAUAGUAAUCAAAACUGUGAUCAUAACAUAAAGACAGAAUAUAGACCAAUGGAAUAGAAUAGAGGCAAGAAAUAAGCUCUUGUAUAUGUGGUCAAAAUGUUUUUUAUAAGAGUGUCAAAACUGUUGAAGAAAGAUAGUGCGGUGGCCUAGUGGUUAAGGAUCUGGCAUUGUUACUGCUGUGGCUUGGGUCACUUCUGUGACACAGGUUCAAUACCUGGCCUGGAAAACUUCUGCAUGCUGUGGGUGUGGCCAAAAAAAAAAAAAAAAUGCAAACCCAAACUACAGUGAGAUACCACUUCGUACCAUUAGGAGGGCUAUCAUCACAAGACAGAAAAUAGCAACUGUUGGAGAGGAUGUGAAAGAAUUGGCACACUUAAUCACUGUUGGUGGCAUGUAAAAUGGUCCAGCUGCUGUGGAAAAUAGUUACAAUAAUUCCUCAAAGAAUUAAACAUAGGAAUACCAUAGGAUCCAGCAAUUCCAUUUCCAGUUAUAUACCCCAAAGAGUUGAAAGCAGGGGAGAAUUCCCUUUGUAGGUUAAUGACCCUGACUAGGAUCCAUGAGGAUGAGGGUUUGAUCCUGGCCUCACUCAGUGGGUUAAGGAUCCAGUGUUGCUGUGAGCUUUGGUGUAGGUGUAGGUCACAGACACAGCUCAGAUCCCAUGUUGCUGUGGCUGUGGCGUAGGCCAGCAGCUGUAGCUCCAAUACAACCCUCAGCCUGGUAACUUCAGGCGUGGCCCUAAAAAGAAAAAGAAAGUUGAAAGCAGGGAUUUGAUCAGCUGUUUGUAUACCCAUGCUCAUAGCAGCAUCAUUCACAAUAGCUAAAAUGUACAACCCAAGUGCCCAUCUACAAAUAAGUGGAGAGGUAAAAUGUGAUAUAUACACACAAUGGAAUAGUAUUCAGCCUUGAAAAGGAAGUUCUGCCACAUGCUGCAACAUGGAUGAACCUUUAGGACAUUAUACUAAGUGAAAUAAACCAAUCACAAAAAGACAAGUAUAAUUCCACCUAUAUAAAGUACUUGGAGUUGUUUAAUGGGUGUAGAAUUUCUGUUUUUCAGGGUAAAAAGAGUUAUAGAAAUGAAUUGUAAUAAUGUUUUCACAUUGUCAAUGUAUUUAAUAUCACCUGUACACUUAAAUGGUGAAGAUGGUAAAUGUAUGUUAUGUUUAUUUUACCAUGUUAAAAAAGAUUGUGGUGCAGUGGGUUAAGGAACUGGCAUUGUCACUGCUGUGGCUCUCGUUACUGCUGUGGCCCAUGUUCGAUCCCUGGUCUGGGAACCUCCACAUGCUGUGAGCACAGCCCCCGCCCCCAAAAAAA
RNAcentral lists this long non-coding RNA (8028 nucleotides) under Sus scrofa (pig). Its description in RNAcentral is "lncRNA (ENSSSCG00035006931.1)". Lineage: Eukaryota; Metazoa; Chordata; Mammalia; Artiodactyla; Suidae. The record is from RNAcentral.